RNAcentral lists this ribosomal RNA (547 nucleotides) under uncultured bacterium. RNAcentral's name for it is "bacterial SSU rRNA". It matches the Rfam family "Bacterial small subunit ribosomal RNA", at positions 355 to 896 of the family's 1533-position model. The record is from RNAcentral.
UGGGGAAUAUUGCGCAAUGGGGGGAGCCCUGACGCAGCCAUGCCGCGUGAAUGAAGAAGGCCUUAGGGUUGUAAAGUUCUUUCGGUAUUGAGGAAGGUUGAUGUGUUAAUAGCACAUCAAAUUGACGUUAAAUACAGAAGAAGCACCGGCUAACUCCGUGCCAGCAGCCGCGGUAAUACGGAGGGUGCGAGCGUUAAUCGGAAUAACUGGGCGUAAAGGGCACGCAGGCGGUUAUUUAAGUGAGGUGUGAAAGCCCCGGGCUUAACCUGGGAAUUGCAUUUCAGACUGGGUAACUAGAGUACUUUAGGGAGGGGUAGAAUUCCACGUGUAGCGGUGAAAUGCGUAGAGAUGUGGAGGAAUACCGAAGGCGAAGGCGGCCCCUUGGGAAUGUACUGACGCUCAUGUGCGAAAGCGUGGGGAGCAAACAGGAUUAGAUACCCUGGUAGUCCACGCUGUAAACGCUGUCGAUUUGGGGGUUGGGGUUUAACUCUGGCGCCCGUAGCUAACGUGAUAAAUCGACCGCCUGGGGAGUACGGCCGCAAGGUUA